UACGUAGGGUGCAAGCGUUGUCCGGAAUUAUUGGGCGUAAAGAGCUCGUAGGCGGUCUGUUGCGUCGGCUGUGAAAACCCGAGGCUCAACCUCGGGCCUGCAGCCGAUACGGGCAGACUAGAGCUCGGCAGGGGAGACUGGAAUUCCUGGUGUAGCGGUGAAAUGCGCAGAUAUCAGGAGGAACACCGGUGGCGAAGGCGGGUCUCUGGGCCGAUACUGACGCUGAGGAGCGAAAGCGUGGGGAGCGAACAGG
RNAcentral lists this ribosomal RNA (253 nucleotides) under uncultured bacterium. Its description in RNAcentral is "partial 16S ribosomal RNA". It matches the Rfam family "Bacterial small subunit ribosomal RNA", at positions 524 to 776 of the family's 1533-position model. The record is from RNAcentral.